RNAcentral lists this ribosomal RNA (253 nucleotides) under uncultured bacterium. RNAcentral describes it as "partial 16S ribosomal RNA". It matches the Rfam family "Bacterial small subunit ribosomal RNA", at positions 524 to 776 of the family's 1533-position model. The record is from RNAcentral.
UACGUAGGGGGCAAGCGUUGUCCGGAUUUAUUGGGCGUAAAGAGCGUGUAGGCGGCCAAGCAGGUCAGCUGUGAAAACUCGAGGCUCAACCUCGAGACGUCGGUUGAAACCGCUUGGCUAGAGUCCGGAAGAGGAGAGUGGAAUUCCCGGUGUAGCGGUGAAAUGCGCAGAUAUCGGGAAGAACACCCGUGGCGAAGGCGGCUCUCUGGGACGGUACUGACGCUGAGGCGCGAAAGCGUGGGGAGCAAACAGG